This 207-nucleotide ribosomal RNA is filed under the name uncultured bacterium. RNAcentral's name for it is "partial 16S ribosomal RNA". It matches the Rfam family "Bacterial small subunit ribosomal RNA", at positions 568 to 774 of the family's 1533-position model. The record is from RNAcentral.
CACGUAGGCGGAUCUUUAAGUCAGAGGUGAAAUCCCAAGGCUCAACCUUGGAACUGCCUUUGAUACUGGGGAUCUCGAGUCCGGAAGAGGUGAGUGGAACUGCGAGUGUAGAGGUGAAAUUCGUAGAUAUUCGCAAGAACACCAGUGGCGAAGGCGGCUCACUGGUCCGGUACUGACGCUGAGGUGCGAAAGCGUGGGGAGCAAACA